RNAcentral lists this ribosomal RNA (777 nucleotides) under Ruegeria sp. Its description in RNAcentral is "bacterial SSU rRNA". It matches the Rfam family "Bacterial small subunit ribosomal RNA", at positions 55 to 881 of the family's 1533-position model. Lineage: Bacteria; Pseudomonadati; Pseudomonadota; Alphaproteobacteria; Rhodobacterales; Roseobacteraceae. The record is from RNAcentral.
AUGCAGUCGAGCGCACCUUCGGGUGAGCGGCGGACGGGUUAGUAACGCGUGGGAACAUACCCUUUGGUACGGAAUAGCCUCUGGAAACGGAGAGUAAUACCGUAUGAGCCCUUCGGGGGAAAGAUUUAUCGCCAAAGGAUUGGCCCGCGUUAGAUUAGGUAGUUGGUGGGGUAAUGGCCUACCAAGCCUACGAUCUAUAGCUGGUUUUAGAGGAUGAUCAGCAACACUGGGACUGAGACACGGCCCAGACUCCUACGGGAGGCAGCAGUGGGGAAUCUUGGACAAUGGGGGCAACCCUGAUCCAGCCAUGCCGCGUGAGUGAUGAAGGCCUUAGGGUCGUAAAGCUCUUUCGCCUGUGAAGAUAAUGACGGUAGCAGGUAAAGAAACCCCGGCUAACUCCGUGCCAGCAGCCGCGGUAAUACGGAGGGGGUUAGCGUUGUUCGGAAUUACUGGGCGUAAAGCGCACGUAGGCGGACUGGAAAGUUGGGGGUGAAAUCCCAGGGCUCAACCCUGGAACUGCCUCCAAAACUAUCAGUCUAGAGUUCGAGAGAGGUGAGUGGAAUUCCGAGUGUAGAGGUGAAAUUCGUAGAUAUUCGGAGGAACACCAGUGGCGAAGGCGGCUCACUGGCUCGAUACUGACGCUGAGGUGCGAAAGUGUGGGGAGCAAACAGGAUUAGAUACCCUGGUAGUCCACACCGUAAACGAUGAAUGCCAGUCGUCGGGUAGCAUGCUAUUCGGUGACACACCUAACGGAUUUAAGCAUUCCGCCUGGGGAGU